UCCUUGCGAAGCUCGCCAAGUGGAAACAGCACGCGCUCGAACUGCUGGCGCGGCACCGCGUGCAGGAAGUAGGACUGAUCCUUGUUGGCAUCACGUGCCUUCAGCAACUGCGGACCGUCGGGGCUGGUUGCCAGGCGCGCGUAGUGCCCGGUGGCGAAGUGCGAACCGCCGAGUCGCUGCACGUAAGUCAGGCAGCGACCGAACUUGAUUUCCCGGUUGCAGAGCACGUCGGGGUUGGGUGUGCGUCCAGCCCGAUACUCAUCCAGGAAGUUGGCUAACACCUGUCGGCGAUAUUCGGCAGCGAAAUUGACCCGGUGCAGGACCAUGCCCAGUUCGCGCGCCACCGCGCGCGCGUCCUGAUAGUCGCGGGCGCCGGUGCAAUACUCGUCGGCCUCGUCCCAGUUGUCCAUGUAGAGCCCGUGGACCUCGUACCCGGCAUCCCGCAGCAGCAAAGCGGCGACCGCGGAGUCGACUCCUCCGGACAAACCCACGAUGACACGGCCAAUCGGCACACUCAUGGCGGAAUUCUAACCCGCGGCGCAUGAGGAAUGGCCGGAUCAGCAGGCGAGGAGGGUCGAGCGCAGCUACAUGUUGCCGACGCGCUGCCGGUGUUCGUCGGUGCUGGCCAGCCAGCUGGCGUCGAAUUCCUGCAGGUAUUGUCGGGCAACGGGUGGGUUGUUCAGCGAAGUGAUGCCGUCCCAGCGGUCGGCGCGCAGCCGGUAGACGAUGGCGCGAUCAUCGGCAAUGCAAUAGGCAGCGGUCUGCUGGCGCUGCUCGGCCACCAGCACACGAAUCUCCAGAUAGCUCGACAGCCGACGUGUCAUCGACACGAAGCGGUUGUUGUGCGUCAGCAUGCGGCCGGGUUCGCGCACCAGGAUGCGUACCUUGGCAAAGCUCUGACCGAGCACGAAGCGCUUGAUGGUAUUCAGGAACGCCUGCUGGUCAUAGAGCGGCGGUUCGAGAUCCGGUGAAAAGAUCGAGAUCAGUCGCUGCCCGCAGGCGGCGACUGCUUCGGUCGCGGCGCGCACUUCAUCGAGCGUCGUCACAAUGUGCAGGUCGUCGCUGAUCGGUGGCAGCGGGGCCGGUACGAACGGGACGCGCUGCGAGUCUUCCAGUCCGAAACUGGCCAGGCCCGCCGCCGUGGUGGGUCGAUUGUCGCGAAAACUGUUCACGCCGUAACUGCCGGUUGACUGACUCGGAUUUGACCAGAGUCAGGAUGGUAGGCAGCCGAUCGCCAGGUGGUUGUCUACCGGUUCACGUAACCGUCGCAGUGGAUGUGAGGCAGUUCGCAGUUCUGCCGCUGAUGCGGCAUCGCGGCGGCAGGCUGGUGCCGCAGCUCUCAGUGACCGGGCAGGGUUCUUGCCAGGCUGGCCGCAACGCCGAGGUAUUCCGCCGGGGUCAGUGCCGCCAGUCGGGCGCGUUCUGCGGCGGGUAGCGGCAGCGUGGCGACGAAUGCCUGCAGCGAAUCGCGGGUCACUUGCUGACCACGCGUAAAAUCCUUCAGCAGCUCGUAACCAUUGGGCACGCCGGCCGCGCGCAACACGGUCUGCAGGGCCUCGCCAAGUACUUCCCAUGACUGAUCCAGGUCGACGGCCAUGCGGGCGGCAUCGGGCGCCACUUUAUCGAGGCCACGGCCGAGCGCCUUCCAGCCGACCAGCGUAUGCGCCAAAGCCACGCCGAGAUUGCGCAGCACCGUGGAGUCUGUCAGGUCGCGUUGCCAGCGGGAAACCGGCAGCUUGUCGGAGAAAUGGCGCAGCAGCGCAUUGGCGAUGC
Molecule: unclassified non-coding RNA, 1773 nt
Filed under: uncultured fungus
Lineage: Eukaryota; Fungi
Description: sequence contains 18S rRNA gene, ITS1, 5.8S rRNA gene, ITS2, 28S rRNA gene
Source: RNAcentral